GCUAUGAAGUAUACAGAAGUAGAAGAUUGUUUCUCAGAUGAGUGAGUUUAAGCUAUGAGUGAGAAGAGAGAGAAUCAAAUAGCUUCGUUGGACAUUAUCUCUAUCAUAUUCUGCUGUUUCUUGGAGUUAAGUUUAGAAGACUCAAGCAUUUUCUUUCAAAUACAAUUUGCAGAAGCAAUUAUAGAAAACAACAUCGUUUUCUGUCAAAGGAAAGAAGCAACUACAGAGGAAAAGCGAUGUCGAAUUGUUAAAUGAAAUUUUAGUUGCUGGCACGUGAUUCAAGCAAUUAGAUGGACACAUGUUGUAAUUUUAUUUGUUUUCCCUUUUAAGCUAUUAGAUUACUUUCUGUUUUA
This is a long non-coding RNA of Quercus lobata, 353 nucleotides long. RefSeq lists it as uncharacterized. Lineage: Eukaryota; Viridiplantae; Streptophyta; Magnoliopsida; Fagales; Fagaceae. The record is from RefSeq and is a predicted model, not a curated record. The transcript is spliced from 2 exons.